CCCGAAACCAAGUGAUCUACCCAUGGCCAGGAUGAAGGUGCCGUAACAGGUACUGGAGGUCCGAACCGACUAGUGUUGCAAAACUAGCGGAUGAGCUGUGGAUAGGGGCGAAAGGCUAAACAAACUUGGAAAUAGCUGGUUCUCUCCGAAAACUAUUUAGGUAGUGCCUCAAGUAUUACCGUCGGGGGUAGAGCACUGUUUAGGCUAGGGGGUCAUGGCGACUUACCAAACCUAUGCAAACUCCGAAUACCGAUGAGUACAGCUUGGGAGACAGAGCACCGGGUGCUAACGUCCGGACUCAAGAGGGAAACAACCCAGACCGCCAGCUAAGGUCCCUAAAAUUGGCUAAGUGGGAACGAAGUGGGAAGGCUAAAACAGUCAGGAUGUUGGCUUAGAAGCAGCCAUCAUUUAAAGAAAGCGUAAUAGCUCACUGAUCGAGU
RNAcentral lists this ribosomal RNA (440 nucleotides) under uncultured bacterium. RNAcentral describes it as "bacterial LSU rRNA". It matches the Rfam family "Bacterial large subunit ribosomal RNA", at positions 714 to 1154 of the family's 2925-position model. The record is from RNAcentral.